This 203-nucleotide long non-coding RNA is filed under the name Setaria viridis. RNAcentral's name for it is "long non-coding RNA (SVIR_LNC007389)". Lineage: Eukaryota; Viridiplantae; Streptophyta; Magnoliopsida; Poales; Poaceae. The record is from RNAcentral.
CGUACCCUUGAAAUUUAGGAGAGAAAGCACGGUAUAACAAGAUUUGAGAAAUCUUGCAUCGUUAUACACAACCAAGGCUCUAAUCUUGUCAGGAAACAUGAUCAACGUCUACAUGACUUUGAGCAACCACACUAGCUUAGGCUAUGUAUUUAUAGGUCAACCUCCCCCCUUCCCUCCCCUCCCCUCCCCCCAUCUUAAAAAUU